This 427-nucleotide ribosomal RNA is filed under the name uncultured bacterium. RNAcentral's name for it is "partial 16S ribosomal RNA". It matches the Rfam family "Bacterial small subunit ribosomal RNA", at positions 355 to 774 of the family's 1533-position model. The record is from RNAcentral.
UGGGGAAUAUUGGACAAUGGGCGAAAGCCUGAUCCAGCCAUGCCGCGUGUGUGAAGAAGGUCUUCGGAUUGUAAAGCACUUUAAGUUGGGAGGAAGGGCAUUAACCUAAUACGUUAGUGUUUUGACGUUACCGACAGAAUAAGCACCGGCUAACUCUGUGCCAGCAGCCGCGGUAAUACAGAGGGUGCAAGUGUUAAUCGGAAUUACUGGGCGUAAAGCGCGCGUAGGUGGUUUGUUAAGUUGGAUGUGAAAUCCCCGGGCUCAACCUGGGAACUGCAUUCAAAACUGACUGACUAGAGUAUGGUAGAGGGUGGUGGAAUUUCCUGUGUAGCGGUGAAAUGCGUAGAUAUAGGAAGGAACACCAGUGGCGAAGGCGACCACCUGGACUAAUACUGACACUGAGGUGCGAAAGCGUGGGGAGCAAACA